Molecule: ribosomal RNA, 467 nt
Filed under: uncultured bacterium
Lineage: Bacteria
Description: partial 16S ribosomal RNA
Rfam family: Bacterial small subunit ribosomal RNA
Source: RNAcentral
GACGAACGCUGGCGGCGUGCUUAACACAUGCAAGUCGAACGGUGAAGCUCCAGCUUGCUGGAGUGGAUCAGUGGCGAACGGGUGAGUAACACGUGAGCAACCUGCCCCUGACUCUGGAAUAAGCGCUGGAAACGGCGUCUAAUACUGGAUACGAGAAGGGUCCGCAUGGGCACUUUCUGGAAAGUUUUUCGGUUGGGGAUGGGCUCGCGGCCUAUCAGCUUGUUGGUGAGGUAAUGGCUCACCAAGGCGACGACGGGUAGCCGGCCUGAGAGGGCGACCGGCCACACGGGGACUGAGACACGGCCCAGACUCCUACGGGAGGCAGCAGUGGGGAAUAUUGCACAAUGGGCGAAAGCCUGAUGCAGCGACGCCGCGUGAGGGAUGACGGCCUUCGGGUUGUAAACCUCUUUCAGCAGGGAAGAAGCGAAAGUGACGGUACCGGCAGAAGAAGCACCGGCUAACUACGU